RNAcentral lists this ribosomal RNA (465 nucleotides) under uncultured bacterium. Its description in RNAcentral is "partial 16S ribosomal RNA". It matches the Rfam family "Bacterial small subunit ribosomal RNA", at positions 29 to 507 of the family's 1533-position model. The record is from RNAcentral.
ACGAACGCUGGCGGCGUGCUUAACACCUGCAAGUCGAACGGAAAGGCCCUGCUUGCCGGGUACUCGAGUGGCGAACGGGUGAGUAACACGUGGGUGAUCUGCCCUGCACUUCGGGAUAAGCUUGGGAAACUGGGUCUAAUACCGGAUAGGACCGCACUUUAGUGUGUGUGGUGGAAAGUUUUUUCGGUGUAGGAUGAGCUCGCGGCCUAUCAGCUUGUUGGUGGGGUAAUGGCCUACCAAGGCGGCGACGGGUAGCCGGCCUGAGAGGGUGUACGGCCACAUUGGGACUGAGAUACGGCCCAGACUCCUACGGGAGGCAGCAGUGGGGAAUAUUGCACAAUGGGCGCAAGCCUGAUGCAGCGACGCCGCGUGGGGGAUGAAGGCCUUCGGGUUGUAAACUCCUUUCGCUAGGGACGAAGCGUUGUUGUGACGGUACCUAGAGAAGAAGCACCGGCUAACUACGUG